Molecule: ribosomal RNA, 253 nt
Filed under: uncultured bacterium
Lineage: Bacteria
Description: partial 16S ribosomal RNA
Rfam family: Bacterial small subunit ribosomal RNA
Source: RNAcentral
GACAGAGGGUGCAAACGUUGUUCGGAAUUACUGGGCGUAAAGCGAGUGUAGGCGGUCUGACAAGUCUGGUGUGAAAGCCCACAUGUUAACUGUGGAAGUGCACUAGAAACUGUUGGAUUUGAGUUCAGGAGAGGAAGGCAGAAUUCCCGGUGUAGCGGUGAAAUGCGUAGAGAUCGGGAGGAAUACCAGUGGCGAAGGCGGCCUUCUGGACUGACACUGACGCUGAGGCGCGAAAGCCAGGGGAGCAAACGGG